GAUGAACGCUGACAGAAUGCUUAACACAUGCAAGUCUACUUGAAUUUGGGUUUUUUAACUUAGAUAUGGGUGGCGGACGGGUGAGUAACGCGUAAAGAACUUGCCUCACAGUUUGGGACAACAUUUGGAAACGAAUGCUAAUACCUGAUAUUAUGAAUAUAUGGCAUCAUAUAAUUAUGAAAGCUAUAAGCGCUGUGAGAGAGCUUUGCGUCAUAUUAGCUAGUUGGAGAGGUAACGGCUCCCCAAGGCGAUGAUGGGUAGCCGGCCUGGGAGGGUGAACGGCCACAAGGGGACUGAGACAGGGCCCGUACGCCUACGGGAGGCAGCAGUGGGGAAUAUUGGAAAAUGGACCAAGAGUGUGAUGCAGCAAUUCGGUGUGCACGAUGACGUUUUUCGGAAUGUAAAGUGCUUUCAGUUGGGAAGAAAAAAAUGACGGUACCAACAGAAGAAGUGACGGCUAAAUACGUG
This 468-nucleotide ribosomal RNA is filed under the name uncultured bacterium. RNAcentral's name for it is "partial 16S ribosomal RNA". It matches the Rfam family "Bacterial small subunit ribosomal RNA", at positions 28 to 507 of the family's 1533-position model. The record is from RNAcentral.